UACGGGGGGGGCAAGCGUUGUUCGGAAUUACUGGGCGUAAAGGGCGCGUAGGCGGUUGGAUAAGUCAGCUGUGAAAACCACGAGCUUAACUCGUGGCCUGCAGUUGAGACUGUCGGGCUUGAGUGUGGGAGAGGAGAGUGGAAUUCCUGGUGUAGCGGUGAAAUGCGUAGAUAUCAGGAGGAACACCGGUGGCGAAGGCGGCUCUCUGGACCACAACUGACGCUGAGGCGCGAAAGCUAGGGGAGCAAACAGG
Molecule: ribosomal RNA, 253 nt
Filed under: uncultured bacterium
Lineage: Bacteria
Description: partial 16S ribosomal RNA
Rfam family: Bacterial small subunit ribosomal RNA
Source: RNAcentral